This 440-nucleotide ribosomal RNA is filed under the name uncultured bacterium. RNAcentral describes it as "partial 16S ribosomal RNA". It matches the Rfam family "Bacterial small subunit ribosomal RNA", at positions 338 to 795 of the family's 1533-position model. The record is from RNAcentral.
CCUACGGGUGGCAGCAGUGGGGAAUAUUGCACAAUGGGGGAAAGCCUGAUGCAGCGACGCCGCGUGAGUGAAGAAGGCAUUCGUUAUGUAAAGCUCUAUCAGCAGGGAAGAAAAUGACGGUACCUGAGUAGGCAGCCCCGGCUAACUACGUGCCAGCAGCCGCGGUAAUACGUAGGGGGCAAGCGUUAUCCGGAUUUACUGGGUGUAACGGGAGCGUAGACGGCAGUGCAAGUCUGGUGUGAAAGGCGGGGGCUCAACCCCCGGACUGCUCUGGAAACUGUACGGCUGGAGUGCAGGAGAGGUAAGUGGAAUUCCGAGUGUAGCGGUGAAAUGCGUAGAGAUUAGGAGGAACACCAGUGGCGAAGGCGGCUUACUGGACUGUAACUGACGUUGAGGCGCGAAAGCGUGGGGAGCAAACAGGAUUAGAUACCCGAGUAGUC